ACCCUGGUGGUCCAGUGGUUAAGACUCUGAGCUUCCAAUGCAGGGAGUGCGGGUUCAAUCCCUGGUCAGGGAA
RNAcentral lists this transfer RNA (73 nucleotides) under Bos taurus (domestic cattle). It matches the Rfam family "tRNA". Rfam says of the family: Transfer RNA (tRNA) molecules are approximately 80 nucleotides in length. Their secondary structure includes four short double-helical elements and three loops (D, anti-codon, and T loops). Further hydrogen bonds mediate the characteristic L-shaped molecular structure. tRNAs have two regions of fundamental functional importance: the anti-codon, which is responsible for specific mRNA codon recognition, and the 3' end, to which the tRNAs corresponding amino acid is attached (by aminoacyl-tRNA synthetases). tRNAs cope with the degeneracy of the genetic code in two manners: having more than one tRNA (with a specific anti-codon) for a particular amino acid; and 'wobble' base-pairing, i.e. permitting non-standard base-pairing at the 3rd anti-codon position. The record is from Rfam by way of RNAcentral. RNAcentral also lists the same sequence under 4 other names. Lineage: Eukaryota; Metazoa; Chordata; Mammalia; Artiodactyla; Bovidae.